UACGGAGGAUGCAGGCGUUAUCCGGAUUUAUUAGGUUUAAAGGGUGCGCAGGCGGCCCGGUAAGUCAGUGGUGAAAGUUUGCAGCUUAACUGUAAAAUUGCCAUUGAUACUGUCGGGCUUGAAUGUGGUAGAGGUAGGCGGAAUGUGUAGUGUAGCGGUGAAAUGCUUAGAGAUUACACAGAACACCGAUUGCGAAGGCAGCUUACUAUGCCAUUAUUGACGCUCAGGCACGAAAGCGUGGGUAGCGAACAGG
This 253-nucleotide ribosomal RNA is filed under the name uncultured bacterium. RNAcentral describes it as "partial 16S ribosomal RNA". It matches the Rfam family "Bacterial small subunit ribosomal RNA", at positions 524 to 776 of the family's 1533-position model. The record is from RNAcentral.